ACUGCUGCAGCUGAACACACCAGGAGGGGAAGCUGGGAUGAGACUCAUGCUGGAUCAAGCAAAGCAGCGCCUGUGUUUUCUGGAUACAUCUAUAGUGUGAUUUGGCUGUCCUGCCUGCUUGGAUGCCUGAGCUGCAGGGAAUGACAUCUGAUGUGUGGAAGGAGGAUCCACUCUGUGAUUUUCCCAAGCACAGAUGUGAGGCUCACCAGCCUGCAGUUCCCUGAGACUUCCUCUCUCCCCUUCUUGAAUAUGGUGUUUCCAUUUUUCCAGUCACUGAGAACUUUGUCUGACAGCCACAGUUUUUCAGAUGUGAUGGAGAGCAGCUUGGCAACCACAUCAGACAGUUUCUUCAGGACUGAGAUGGAUCUCAUCUGGCCCUAUGGACUUCUACACAUUCAGCCUCAUGAGGUGGUCUCGGACUUGCUCCGCUCUUAGACUGGGAGGGAUUUUGUUCCCCUCACCUCCACCUAGAAGUUCAGGGACACCAGAGGUAUGCGAAUCCUGAGUGAUUGUGAAGAACAAGGAAAAGAACUCAUUAAGCACCUCAGCCUUCUCCAUGUUUGAGGGGCAAGGGUAGAGGCCUCCUGGUUGCACCUUGUGCAAUUGAGUCUGAUCUCUGGGAGAAGGCACUCUCCUUCCACUGUCUCUUUUACUCCAAGAGGGAGAGAUGGAAUCGUGUCAUGGAAUGUUGCCUCUGUCACAGAAAGAUGUGCCAAAGCCUCUGGAGGCUGAGGAACCAUUGUUCUGUUUAGCAUCUUCUAGGCACAGCAGUGAAUGGACAUCGAUAUGUUGCCGAUACAAUUUCACAUUGCUGUGGACAACACCUGCCUGCUAAUACAAGAGGCAAUUUGAUGCAACAAAGCCAUAAUUCAGUUCAGUGUGGUCUACAUAGUGUAACGAAGUGUGGAGCUGGAGCUGGAGCCAUGUAUUACCUUUCCAAGGCUGGCGGUGGGAAGAAAACAGGGCUUGCGCUGUGGGCAUCCUCGUCCUGAGCAGCACAUCUGUAAGCUGGGCUGGGGAAAGAAUCUGAGCUAAAAGCUGCCCUCUUAUGGCCUUUUAUAGUCACUAAACGGAGUUCUUCUAGGUGGUUGGAGAAGUGGGUGAAGAGCUGGGUAUUUCUUACAGCAGCCUGGACAACCAGCACGUCAUCAUUCUGGUCCCUGCCACAGCUCUCUCGUGCUUCUGUGAAAACCCUCCAGUUUUCCUGGCACAGAGUAAAGCUUACAGCAGGCGUGCUGCCUUUGCAGAACAUGCAUGACUGGAGCAGCUCCUACAUCCAUGCAAGUGAUAGGGAGGAGACCUGCAGUCAGAGGAGAUAUGGUGGAUUACCUACUCCCGAGGAAACUCCUUUGACUGCAUCAUUUAGGAUUUAUCUUCCCACUGUACUGUGUUGUUUCCUAAGAAGGAUGACAGCCCCUGGGCCACAUCCUUGGGUCAAGCCCCCCUGUGGUUAUUGGCAAGGGAAGGACUUUAAAAUCAUUGCUUCCCCUGCAUGAAGUCUCCUUUGGGAUUGGAAUUCUCCUUUGAUUGAGCGGGAUACCUGCAAACGGCACAAACUUUUCACAAACCCAAAGCCCUAACCUGCCUGGAAAAUAAAAGUGACCUGAAUUAACCAUCCACGUAAGGUUCAGCUCUACUCAUGGACUGCCACAGGCUGUUUUCUUGUGCCACCUGGUUAUGGCCCAGAGACAAACCUCACAUUUGGGUUUAGGGGACCCAGGGGACCUGGCAUCAUUUGGGGCCAUCACUUGGCAAUGCACUGUCUGUUCCCUCCGUUUCCAUCCUGGUCCCUGUCCUUUACCAUCAGACAUCAGAUUUUGAGUCUAACCUGAGCACACAUUCAGAAAUGACGCAUUUCCAUGCUGCACCUAUUUAGCGUGCAACUUGAUUCCCAG
This 1895-nucleotide long non-coding RNA is filed under the name Gallus gallus (chicken). Lineage: Eukaryota; Metazoa; Chordata; Aves; Galliformes; Phasianidae. The record is from RNAcentral.